GUGUUACGGUGUUAGGGGAGAGAUGGGUGAGGGGACCUGGAGAGGUAAGGGGCCUGGAAAUGUCCCUGAUGGAGAACUUGUGCUGACCAGGAGAAGGUGGCGCGGAAGGGCACCAGGCAUUCCACCGGCCAUUUCUCCUCCAUGUGCACGCACAUCCAACAUACACCUUCCACGUGACCGCUUCUCAGCUGCCACCUUCUGACCAAAGAGAACAGGCCCUCCAAGGAGAACCUGUACCCCUGCCCCAGCCUCACCUUCCUAGGAAGCAGUGUCUGGAGUCAGCCGUUUCCCGCCCCUCCAACUGCAUGUCCAGCCCAGUGGGAGGCAGGGCCUCUGGUGCAAUUCCCAAAGCAUUCCUUGCCCUUUCUCCAUGGUCACCAUUCAUAACUCAUGUUCGCAUUAAUGGGUUACACGCUUAUCAGCUACAGGCCAUUACCACCCUUACGGAUGAGUCUGGUGGGUGACAUUCCUGGCCAGUCCCUUGCUAGUAAGGAACAGGUAGUACCCAAGAAGCAAGUCGCUCUAGCUCUAGCCUCACAGGAAGCCUCUGUAUCCUCCUCCAUUUCAGCAGAGAAAACUCCUGUGAAAUGGGCCCUACCUUGGGCAUUGACAGGCUGCCAGCUGUGUUCCACCCCUGGAGGCUGACACCUUUCAAUAGAGACCUUUUAUGAGAGCUCAGUGAGAAGGUCUAUCAAGAAAUGCAGAUUCCCGUACAGACAAGUUCAUGCGAAUUUCUAUUAUUUUCACAAAACCCAGAAGCUAUGGGUAACCCAAAGACUUAAAGUCUAAAGAUGGUGGUGUUUUAAACAUGAGUAUUCCAAAAAAAAUCAUUUUUGGUUUGA
RNA transcript from Sapajus apella (tufted capuchin), 842 nucleotides. RefSeq lists it as uncharacterized. Lineage: Eukaryota; Metazoa; Chordata; Mammalia; Primates; Cebidae. The record is from RefSeq and is a predicted model, not a curated record. The transcript has a single exon.